This 1455-nucleotide long non-coding RNA is filed under the name Macaca fascicularis (crab-eating macaque). RNAcentral describes it as "lncRNA (ENSMFAG00000057260.1)". Lineage: Eukaryota; Metazoa; Chordata; Mammalia; Primates; Cercopithecidae. The record is from RNAcentral.
GCCUCCCAUCCUAUUCAAAGUUACACCUAAGCUCACUGAGAUAAAUGCAUAUCUGAUUGCCUCCUUUGGAGAGGCUCAUCAGAAACUCAAAAGAAUGCAACCAUUUGUUUCUUAUCUACCUAUGACCUGGAAGCCCCCUCCUAGCUUUCCAGACCGAACAUCUCACAUAUGUUGAUUGAUGUCUGUCUCCCUAAAAUGUAUAAAACCAAACUGUGCUCUGACCACCUUGGGCACUUGUCAUCAAGACCACCUCAGGCUGUGUCACAGGUGUGCAUCCUCAAUCUUGGCAAAAUAAACUUUCUAUAUUAACGGAGGCCUGUCUCAAAUAUUUGGGGUUCACAGCAUGUAUAAGCCAGAAGGUGCUCAGUUCUUCCAAAACUAAGGGUUCCAUCUUUAUGUGAAAUAUUGGCUUUGGAGAUCAGGUUCCCUUAAUCAACUUGGCUAAUAACUUUUUUUUUCCUAUCUAAGCCUGCAAGAAAAAUGAAAUAAAGAGGAGAAUAGGAAAAUCCCCAUGAAUUUCCAAAAGCCAAAUUUUACACCCCCUGCAAUAUUGCCAUUUACUACUGGUUUCUUUCUGACCCAGUCAGAUAUAAGAGGCCUAUAACUGGAUCCAUGCCAGUUAAUUAUCAGAUCCAAUCCGAUCCUGGGCUUACUCCAGUUUCUAUUGUGACUUCCAAACCCAGUUUGGGUCAGAAAUUUGCUCAAAGACAUUGGAGACCCCAAAACACAAAUCUGUGGAGCUUCAGAAUCUAAGAGAGAACUUGCCACGAUCCCCAGUUGCUAUGAGAGAGAAAUGGACACAAUAGUGUGGGCAAAAAGAGUCAAACUCUGUAAAAUAUUCUCAGAGAUUUAUUCUGAGCCACAUGUGAGUGACCAUGGCCCAUGACACAGCCCUCAGGAGGUCCUGAGAACAUGUGGCCAAGGUGGUCGGGGUGCAGCUUGGUUUUACAUACUUUAGGGAGGCAUGAGACAGCAAUUAAAUACAUUUAAGAAAUACAAUAGUUUGGUUCAGAAAGGCGGGACAACUCAAAGUGGGGAGCUUCCAGACUAUAGGUAAAUUUAAACAUUUUCUGGUCGAUAGUUGAUUGAGUUUAUCUGAAGACUGGGGAUCAAUAGAAAGAAAAUGUUUAGGCUAAGAUAAAGGAUUGUGUGGCCGGGUGCAGUGGCUCACACCUGUAAUUCCAGCACUUAGGGAAGCUGAAGCAGACGGAUCACCUGAGGUCAGGAGUUCAAGACCAGCCUGACCAACAUGGUGAAACCUCAUCUCUACCAAAAAUACAAAAUUAGCCAGGCCUGGUGGCACAUGCCUGUAAUCCCAGCUACUUGGGAGGCUGAGGCAGGAGAAUUGCUUGAACCUGGGAGGCGGAGGUUGCAGUGAGCUGAGAUCACGCCAUUGCACUUCAGCCUGGGCAACAAGAGCAAAACUCUGUCUCAAAAAAAAUAAAAGAAAAAAAA